This 406-nucleotide ribosomal RNA is filed under the name uncultured bacterium. RNAcentral describes it as "partial 16S ribosomal RNA". It matches the Rfam family "Bacterial small subunit ribosomal RNA", at positions 30 to 526 of the family's 1533-position model. The record is from RNAcentral.
AUUGAACGCUGGCGGCAGGCCUAACACAUGCAAGUCGAACGAGUGGCGGACGGGUGCGUAAUGUCUGGGAAACUGCCCGAUGGAGGGGGAUAACUACUGGAAACGGUAGCUAAUACCGCAUACCAUCGGAUGUGCCCAGAUGGGAUUAGCUAGUAGGGGGGGUAACGGCUCACCUAGGCGACGAUCCCUAGCUGGUCUGAGAGGAUGACCAGCCACCCGGGAACUGAGACACGGUCCAGAGUCCUACGGGAGGCAGCAGGGGGGAAUAUUGCACCAUGGGCGCAAGCCUGAUGCAGCCAGGCCGCGUGUAUGAAGAAGGCCUUCGGGUUUUAAAGUACUUUCAGCGAGGAGGCGUUACUCGCAGAAGAAGCACCGGCUAACUCCGUGCCAGCCGCCGCGGUAAUAC